This 494-nucleotide ribosomal RNA is filed under the name uncultured bacterium. Its description in RNAcentral is "partial 16S ribosomal RNA". It matches the Rfam family "Bacterial small subunit ribosomal RNA", at positions 28 to 507 of the family's 1533-position model. The record is from RNAcentral.
GACGAACGCUGGCGGCGUGCUUAACACAUGCAAGUCGAACGGAAAGGCCUGCUUUCCCUUGUGGAUUGCGGGUACUCGAGUGGCGAACGGGUGAGUAACACGUGAGUGAUCUGCCCCCAACUUGGGUAUAAGCCUGGGAAACUGGGUCUAAUUCCCGAUAGGACUGCAGGGUGGUGCCUGUGGUGGAAAACGAUUUUCUAGUGGUUGGGGAUGAGCUCGCGGCCUAUCAGCUUGUUGGUGGGGUAAUGGCCUACCAAGGCGGCGACGGGUAGCCGGCCUGAGAGGGUGGACCGGCACAUUGGGACUGAGAUACGGCCCAGACUCCUACGGGAGGCAGCAGUGGGGAAUAUUGCACAAUGGGCGGAAGCCUGAUGCAGCGACGCCGCGUGGGGGAUGACGGCCUUCGGGUUGUAAACUCCUUUCGACCGCGAGGAAGCCACCUGGUUGGAAGGGUGGUGACGGUAGUGGUAGAAGAAGCACCGGCUAACUACGUG